GGCGGCGUGCUUAACACAUGCAAGUCGAACGGAGUUUUUAAACGGAAGUUUUCGGAUGGAAGUUUAGAAACUUAGUGGCGGACGGGUGAGUAACGCGUGGGUAACCUGCCUCAUACAGGGGGAUAACAGUUAGAAAUGACUGCUAACACCGCAUAAUAUAGCGAAACCGCAUGAUUUUUGCUAUCAAAUAUUUAUAGGUAUGAGAUGGGCCCGCGUCUGAUUAGCUAGUUGGUGGGGUAAAGGCCUACCAAGGCGACGAUCAGUAGCCGGCUUGAGAGAGUGACCGGCCACAUUGGGACUGAGACACGGCCCAAACUCCUACGGGAGGCAGCAGUGGGGAAUAUUGGACAAUGGGGGAAACCCUGAUCCAGCCGACGCCGCGUGAGUGAAGAAGUAUUUCGGUAUGUAAAGCUCUAUCAGCAGGGAAGAUAAUGACAGUACCUGACUAAGAAGCCCCGGCUAACUACGUGCCAGCCGCGGC
RNAcentral lists this ribosomal RNA (481 nucleotides) under uncultured bacterium. RNAcentral describes it as "bacterial SSU rRNA". It matches the Rfam family "Bacterial small subunit ribosomal RNA", at positions 38 to 518 of the family's 1533-position model. The record is from RNAcentral.